GUGAGAAAUUUCGAGAACGAAAUUUUCGUAAGGGGGGAGAGUUGUAACAACCUAUUUCUCUAUUGUGUCGGAACAGUAGUUUUGGGGCACAAAUCUGACGUGUAAGUCCAAAAAUAUUUACUAUUUAAUAUUUACGAGUCAAAUAUAGUGUAAUAAUAAAAUUUUAUUUAAUGAUUUAGGUUAAAUGAAAGAAUAAUUAGGUUCAAGUGGUAGACCCUAAAGUCAAGUGAUUUUAGAAAAUGAGGUAUUG
RNAcentral lists this long non-coding RNA (250 nucleotides) under Gossypium barbadense (sea-island cotton). RNAcentral's name for it is "long non-coding RNA (GBAR_LNC017006)". Lineage: Eukaryota; Viridiplantae; Streptophyta; Magnoliopsida; Malvales; Malvaceae. The record is from RNAcentral.